RNAcentral lists this long non-coding RNA (1029 nucleotides) under Sus scrofa (pig). Its description in RNAcentral is "lncRNA (ENSSSCG00005004281.1)". Lineage: Eukaryota; Metazoa; Chordata; Mammalia; Artiodactyla; Suidae. The record is from RNAcentral.
GUGCUCGAGGGCAGCUCCAGCCUGGGCCCUUCCAGAAGGACCCUCCCCAUCUCCGUCUACAUCUACGCCCAGGGAGGUCAAAGGCAUCAGGAGAGGUGCAUGGGCCGAGAACCCCAGGACCACAGGCACGCUGCUGGCCCCGCCCAGGUCCGGGCUCCCCAAGGCCUCACUGUGACCUCACUCCCUCACGGGGGAAGAGGUCAGAGCCAGGGAGUCCCCUCCAAGUUCCCCUCGAGCCACCCAGGCCGAAUCCAGGGGCUGCCCGGAGGAGGGGUUGGCAGCAGGUCCAGAAACUGAGAUGACGGAGGCCAGGAUUCCAGGAAGGGGACACAUGAGGACAGGCUUCCUGGUUUCCAGUGGGGAGAGGCCAUGAGGCCAUCCCCCUCAGCAGGUGGGGCUUGGGGUGGGGGGGCACCGUGACCCUUCACUUCCCUGCUGGCCCACCCUCUGUCCGGCAGACACACGUCUCUUUUCCUUGACCACGGGCGGGGGCUGCCCCCUGGACUGGGCCCCGUUCCUUGAUCCUGUGUGGGAGGCUCUGGUGAGAAAGAGAGCUGGUAACGGGGGGUGGGGGUGAGGGGACACAUCAGAGAUUGGGGGCGCGGCGCGGGGACUCCAACUUGCAGAGGGAGGGGUGGACACUCAACAAAGACCUGGGUCCUGUUGUUUUAAAUAAGAAAUUUAUUGCAAAUAUAGAAAUUGAUUCUCUCCAUACAGGAAUCUCCAAGUUGAGGAAAACAAUUUCGUGCCAUUCAGUUUAAAAUAGGAAAUUGGGAGGGAGAGGCAGAUACAGGGAAGAGAAAAUAAAUGAAGUCACCCCCCCCACCCUGAAAAGAAGAAAAGGAGCGUACAUCCCCCCCCACCCAAGGAGGAAAAGGUCCGGUCCACACAGCGAAGGUUCACAGGUUCGUAGCCCGGGGGCCCGGAGCCCAACUCUGCAGGACCCAAACCAGGUGCCAAGCCGCGAGGCAGGGCCGAGGGGCUGGUGGCUCCUCGGGGAGGGAAGGAGCGAGCGAGGGUGGACCCUCG